CCGCCCACCUGCUUGCCUUAACCCCUUUCCGGCCCUGGCUGGGACUUGCCCAGCCGGCCCUUGACAAACAGCUUCAGCUUCCACUUUAACCCUGCUUUGGCUAGACUUUCUUUUUUUUUUUGGUUUUUUGUUUUUUGUUUUUUGUUUUUUUUAAAGAUAGAGUGAGGGGGGAGAGAGAGAGAGAGAAUUUUUAAUAUUUAUUUUUUAGUUUUCGGCGGACACAACAUCUUUGUUUUGCAUGUGGUGCUGAGGAUCGAACCCGGGCCGCACGCAUGCCAGGAGAGCGCGCUACCGCUUGAGCCACAUCCCCAGCCCCUGGCUAGACUUUCUUUCUUUUUUAAAUACUUUUGAUUGCACAUGGACACAAUACCUUUAUUUUGUUAUUUAGUUUUUUUAUGUGGUGCUGGGAGUCGAACCCACUGCCUCACUCUCGCGCUAGGCGAGCGCUCUACCACUGAACUACAACCCCAGCCCUUGGCUAGACUUUUGAGUGUAACUUAUUUUUUGUUACAGGAUGCGUUUAUAACAUGUUUGUCAAAGAUCAUGCAAUUCUAUAGAUAUAAUGGCUUUCCUUUGAACCCUUAAGUUCUCAGUACUUUUUCUUGUCCCAGUGCCUGAAAUCUAGUAGCACUUUUGGUAGUGAGCUUUUGGGUAGCAAUUACCACACGGUAUUGUAAUCAUUUGUUGUGGCAUUUAUUUAUGCAUAAUUCCCGACCCUACCCCGCCCCUUCUCUGGAAACUGAAACUUCCUGUAGGCUGAGGCCUAGACUGUUUACCUUUGUACCCACAGAGAUUUUCUCCUGCACACGCAAUUCAGAAGCAGUGGAUAAUUCUGGCUUAAUUGCAGUCAUCUAAAGGUUUGGGGAUGGAUAAUCCAUCUCCAAAAUGACUCACCUGCUUGGCAAUGCCAGGGAUUGAACCCAGGGCCUCACACGUACUAGAGUGCCUGCUCCUGUCCCUGAGAAGGGAGGUGAUGGAGUUCCUGGGGAGGAACCCUUCUACCCUGCAUGCCUACCUGCUAUACGGAAGCUGCUACAGAACAUAAUAAGCAGAACCGCACAUGCUGACAGAUCCCCAGAACACACUGCCAUGAAGACACCUAUCUACCUAGGGUCUACACUGGAAGAGACACCAAAGAGACAGUGUCAGAAUUUGCUUGCACAGGAGAAAGAAGAAGAAAAGUCCUAUAAGGUUUUAAAAUUUGGAUGAGUAAACUGUGACCUUAGCAAGUGAUUAA
This is a long non-coding RNA of Marmota monax (woodchuck), 1237 nucleotides long. RefSeq lists it as uncharacterized. Lineage: Eukaryota; Metazoa; Chordata; Mammalia; Rodentia; Sciuridae. The transcript is spliced from 4 exons. The record is from RefSeq and is a predicted model, not a curated record.